Unclassified non-coding RNA from Myotis lucifugus (little brown bat), 333 nucleotides. Its record names the gene 7SK. It matches the Rfam family "7SK RNA". Rfam says of the family: 7SK was discovered as an abundant small nuclear RNA in the mid-70s but a possible function has only recently been suggested. Two independent studies have found that 7SK RNA binds the CDK9/cyclin T complex (known as elongation factor P-TEFb). Lineage: Eukaryota; Metazoa; Chordata; Mammalia; Chiroptera; Vespertilionidae. The record is from Ensembl.
GGAUGUGAGGGCGAUCUGGCUGCGACAUCUGUCACCCCAUUGAUCGCCAGGGUUGAUUCGGCUGAUCUGGCUGGCUAGGCGGGUGUCCCCCUCCUCCCUCACCGAUCCAUGCCAUGUGCGUCCCUCCCGAAGCUGCGCGGUCGGUCGAAGAAGACGACCUUCCCCCCCAGGAGAGGACAGGUCUUCGGUCAAGGGUAUACGAGUAGCUGCGCUCCCCUGCUAGAACCUCCAAACAAGCUCUCAAGAAUUUCAUCCCUGAGUGUGUAUUUCAGAGACACACUUGCCUACAUGGGCCAGAAAACUCGAACAAGAACCUUCACUGCAUCAUCAUUU